AUUGAACGCUGGCGGCAGGCUUAACACAUGCAAGUCGAGCGGGGGAAGGUAGCUUGCUACCGGACCUAGCGGCGGACGGGUGAGUAAUGCUUAGGAAUCUGCCUAUUAGUGGGGGACAACAUCUCGAAAGGGAUGCUAAUACCGCAUACGUCCUACGGGAGAAAGCAGGGGAUCUUCGGACCUUGCGCUAAUAGAUGAGCCUAAGUCGGAUUAGCUAGUUGGUGGGGUAAAGGCCUACCAAGGCGACGAUCUGUAGCGGGUCUGAGAGGAUGAUCCGCCACACUGGGACUGGGACACGGCCCAGACUCCUACGGGCGGCAGCAGUGUGGAAUAUUGGACAAUGGGUGGAACCCUGAUCCAGCCAUGCCGCGGGUGUGAAGAAGGCAUUAUGGUUGUAAAGCACUUUAAGCAAGAAGGAGGCUACUUUAGUUAAUACCUAGAGAUAGUGGACGUUACUCGCAGAAUAAGCACCGGCUAACUCUGUUCCAGCAGCCGCCGUAA
RNAcentral lists this ribosomal RNA (501 nucleotides) under uncultured bacterium. Its description in RNAcentral is "partial 16S ribosomal RNA". It matches the Rfam family "Bacterial small subunit ribosomal RNA", at positions 30 to 523 of the family's 1533-position model. The record is from RNAcentral.